CAGCCGUAAACUAUGCUCGCUAGGUGUCAGGCAUGGCGCGACCGUGUCUGGUGCCGCAGGGAAGCCGUGAAGCGAGCCACCUGGGAAGUACGGCCGCAAGGCUGAAACUUAAAGGAUUGGCGGGGGAGCACAACAACGGGUGGAGCCUGCGGUUUAAUGGACUCAACGCCGGACAACUCACCGGGGACGACAGCAAUAUGUAGGCCAGGCUGAAGACCUUGCCUGAAUCGCUGAGAGGUGGUGCAUGGCGUAGACGUCU
Molecule: ribosomal RNA, 259 nt
Filed under: uncultured archaeon
Lineage: Archaea
Description: partial 16S ribosomal RNA
Rfam family: Archaeal small subunit ribosomal RNA
Source: RNAcentral